RNAcentral lists this transfer RNA (73 nucleotides) under Reclinomonas americana ATCC 50633. RNAcentral's name for it is "tRNA-Asn". It matches the Rfam family "tRNA". Rfam says of the family: Transfer RNA (tRNA) molecules are approximately 80 nucleotides in length. Their secondary structure includes four short double-helical elements and three loops (D, anti-codon, and T loops). Lineage: Eukaryota; Jakobea; Jakobida; Histionidae. The record is from RNAcentral.
UCCUUUGUAGCUCAAUGGUCAGAGCGCACGGCUGUUAACCGUGAGGUUGUAGGUUCAAAUCCUAUCGAAGGAG